AGUGAACGCUGGCGGUAGGCCUAACACAUGCAAGUCGAACAGCAGCACAGUAAGAGCUUGCUCUUACGGGUGGCGAGUGGCGGACGGGUGAGGAAUACAUCGGAAUCUACUUUUUCGUGGGGGAUAACGUAGGGAAACUUACGCUAAUACCGCAUACGACCUACGGGUGAAAGCAGGGGAUCUUCGGACCUUGCGCGAUUGAAUGAGCCGAUGUCGGAUUAGCUAGUUGGCGGGGUAAAGGCCCACCAAGGCGACGAUCCGUAGCUGGUCUGAGAGGAUGAUCAGCCACACUGGAACUGAGACACGGUCCAGACUCCUACGGGAGGCAGCAGUGGGGAAUAUUGGACAAAGGGCGCAAGCCUGAUCCAGCCAUACCGCGUGGGUGAAGAAGGCCUUCGGGUUGUAAAGCCCUUUUGUUGGGAAAGAAAAGCAGCAGGUUAACACCCCGCUGUUCUGACGGUACCCAAAGAAUAAGCACCGGCUAACUUCGUG
Molecule: ribosomal RNA, 492 nt
Filed under: uncultured bacterium
Lineage: Bacteria
Description: partial 16S ribosomal RNA
Rfam family: Bacterial small subunit ribosomal RNA
Source: RNAcentral